This 352-nucleotide unclassified non-coding RNA is filed under the name soil metagenome. Its description in RNAcentral is "partial contains 5.8S ribosomal RNA, internal transcribed spacer 2, and large subunit ribosomal RNA". The stretch from base 1 to 120 matches the Rfam family "5.8S ribosomal RNA", at positions 35 to 154 of the family's 154-position model. The record is from RNAcentral.
GAUGAAGAACGUAGCGAAAUGCGAUAAGUAAUGUGAAUUGCAGAAUACAGUGAAUCAUCGAAUCUUUGAACGCACAUUGCGCCCGCCAGUAUUCUGGCGGGCAUGCCUGUUCGAGCGUCAUUACAACCCUCAGGCCCCCGGGCCUGGCGUUGGGGAUCGGCGGAGCCCCCCGUGGGCACACGCCGUCCCCCAAAUGCAGUGGCGGUCCCGCCGCAGCUUCCAUCGCGUAGUAGCUAACACCUCGCGACUGGAGAGCGGCGCGGCCACGCCGUAAAACACCCAACUCUUCUGAAGUUGACCUCGAAUCAGGUAGGAAUACCCGCUGAACUUAAGCAUAUCAAUAAGCGGAGGA